UGGCACACCCUUGCAGAGGUGGCUGGUUGC
Molecule: non-coding RNA, 30 nt
Filed under: Macaca fascicularis (crab-eating macaque)
Lineage: Eukaryota; Metazoa; Chordata; Mammalia; Primates; Cercopithecidae
Also listed under: 1 other name
Source: RNAcentral